RNAcentral lists this ribosomal RNA (376 nucleotides) under uncultured Legionella sp. RNAcentral describes it as "bacterial SSU rRNA". It matches the Rfam family "Bacterial small subunit ribosomal RNA", at positions 283 to 651 of the family's 1533-position model. The record is from RNAcentral. Lineage: Bacteria; Pseudomonadati; Pseudomonadota; Gammaproteobacteria; Legionellales; Legionellaceae.
UUAGCUGGUCUGAGAGGAUGGCCAGCCACACUGGAACUGAGACACGGUCCAGACUCCUACGGGAGGCAGCAGUGGGGAAUAUUGGACAAUGGGGGCAACCCUGAUCCAGCAAUGCCGCGUGUGUGAAGAAGGCCUGAGGGUUGUAAAGCACUUUCAGUGGGGAGGAGGAUUGAUUGGUUAAGAGCUGAUUAAUUGGACGUUACCCACAGAAGAAGCACCGGCUAACUCCGUGCCAGCAGCCGCGGUAAUACGGAGGGUGCGAGCGUUAAUCGGAAUUACUGGGCGUAAAGGGUGCGUAGGUGGUUUAUUAAGUUAUCUGUGAAAUCCCUGGGCUUAACCUGGGCAGGUCAGAUAAGACUGGUAGACUCGAGUAUGG